AUACAGCUAGAGAAGCAGCUGGUCAUGGGGAAUUGCCUGAUCAAAGUACGAUCCAAUAUGCCAACUCUUGAGAAUCCAACUGAACCUGCAAUGUCAGACAAUAACAGGCCCAUGGUGGUAUCCCUCUAUAACUACCCCUCCCAAGGUCCCUUGGAGUCCAGAAUCCACAUAGGGGAGAGGCUCACUGUGUUAUUAGACGAUGGGGAUUUUUGGAUGGUGCGAUCCACAACAACAGGCAAUGAGAGUUAUAUCCCCAGCAACUACACUGCCAAAGUAAUU
This is a long non-coding RNA of Coregonus clupeaformis (lake whitefish), 279 nucleotides long. RefSeq lists it as uncharacterized. The record is from RefSeq and is a predicted model, not a curated record. The transcript is spliced from 3 exons. Lineage: Eukaryota; Metazoa; Chordata; Actinopteri; Salmoniformes; Salmonidae.